AGCCUUUUGAUUUUCUUAUUAAAGGUAUAAUCUGCCCUAUGAAUAAAUUAAAUGGCCGCAGUAUCUUGACUGUGCGAAGGUAGCAUAAUCGUUUGUCUUUUAAUUGGAGUCUGGUAUGAAUGAUUUAAUGAAAGAAAUGCUGUUUUUAAAGGAUAUAUGAAUUUUCAUGUUAGGUGAAGAUGCUUAAAUGUUUAUAAAAGACGAGAAGACCCCGUCAAGUUUUAUAUUAAGUUUUAUAAUUAUGAUAAAAAGUGUGAUUCUAAUAUUUGGUUGGGGCAAUUAUUAAAUAAGGAAAAUUUUAAUUUUUUAUAAUAUUUAUCAAUAGAAGUUUAUAUGAUCCAAUGAUUUGAUUAAAAGAAUAAAUUACUGUGGGGAUAACAGCGUAAUUCCUUCUUAGAGUUCUUAUCGAUGAAGGAGAUUGCGACCUCGAUGUUGGAUUAAGAUUCUCGUUUGGCGCAGAUGUUAAAUGGAGUAGUCUGU
RNAcentral lists this ribosomal RNA (480 nucleotides) under Lithobius lapidicola. RNAcentral's name for it is "partial large subunit ribosomal RNA". It matches the Rfam family "Bacterial large subunit ribosomal RNA", at positions 1828 to 2580 of the family's 2925-position model. Lineage: Eukaryota; Metazoa; Arthropoda; Chilopoda; Lithobiomorpha; Lithobiidae. The record is from RNAcentral.